Molecule: long non-coding RNA, 1789 nt
Organism: Crocodylus porosus (Australian saltwater crocodile)
Lineage: Eukaryota; Metazoa; Chordata; Crocodylia; Crocodylidae
Source: Ensembl
GCAGCUUGAGCUAAGCACAAAGGUCAAACCCAGGCCUGAAGGCCUCUGGGUCCCAACAGGGGGGAGGAGGUCUGGGACAUCAUCUCUAUGACGGUGGGUCCGAGUCUUUGGUACGCAGACAACCCGUCAUGGGUACAUGUGCUCCACCCAGACCUUCCACCGAUGAGGGUGAGAGCGAGGUGCCUAUGUGUACACGAAGCCCAAACAUCCCUUAUUGCACGUCACUCGCAUCCUUGUGGGUGGAAGGACCUGGCCCUGUCAACGCAGCUUGCAGAUGGAGACCCUGGUGCCCUGCUCUGCUCCCUAGUCUCCUGCUGUCUCUGAGAAGCAGGUAGGGAAGCAGCAGGGUCUGCCACUGAGCAGGAUUGCAGAGCAUGGGGCUGGGGCUGGUAGCAGUGCAGAGCCUGCACCCAGGGGCAGGGGGCAUUGGCAGCACGGAGCUCGACAGGGCAGUGUCAGGGAGGGUGGGGGUGUGGGGACCCCCCCAGUACCCAAAGAUGUGCAGCCGCAGUAUGCAGUGGCAUCAGCAACAGGCAGGGGCCUUUAUGGCACUCAUGCCCGGUGCAGGUGCCCAGCGGGCCAAGGCUCCUAGGUCCAUUGCACUUUGCAGUGGUGUAGUGAGAACAAGGUGCCAAACAUUCCCUAUAGGCAGCGGGGGGGCACGGCAGCCCUCCUGGCUCUCCGGGGACCUAGCAGAUCUCCUGCGGCUGGAGGGGAGGGCCUGCAGGGGAUGGAGGGUGGGAUUCGCCUCCAGGGGGGAUUGUUCUGCGCUGGUCCGGUCCUGUGGGGAGCGGGCCAGGAGGGCCGGGGCUGCAACUGGACUCCGGCUGGCUUUGGGCAUCAAGGACAACAAAAAAAGGUCCUUUUUCGGAUGUGUGGGGGGCUGGAGGAGGAGCGGGGGCAGUGUUGGACCCCUGCUGGACUGGAUGGGGCAGCUGACGGCUGGCGCCCAGGAAGAAGCCAACCUAUUGAAUAGGUGCUUUGCGUCAGUCUUUCAUCGGUCCCAUGGGACGCCCAUGCCUGCUGUGGGACGGGGAGAUCCGGGUGAUGGGCGUCCCCUGCCCUCCAUGGGUGCUGGCCUCGUGGGGGAGCACCUUGGGGGGCUGGAUGCCUUCGGGUCAGCCGGCCCUGGCGGUCUGCACUCCAGGGUGCUCGGGGAGCUGGCGAGUGUCGUGGCCCAGCCCCUGGCACGGAUCUUUGAGGGCUCCUGGUGCUCUGGUGUAGUGCCCAGGGACUGGAGGGGGGCCGGUGUGGUGCUGAUCUAUGGGAGGGGGAGGAAAGUGGAUCCGGCUGACUGUGGGCUCAUUGGCCUGGCUUCUGUCCUGGGGAAGAUCUUGGAGGGGUUUCUUAGGGGGGCCAUCCUUGGUGGACUGGCCCAGGCUGACAUUCUGGGGGAUGGCCAGUGCGGGUUUGUUGCAGGUGGGUCUUGUUUGACCAAUCUCAUUUCCUUCUGUGACCGGGUGGCCUAUCGCCUGGACGGGGGAGAGGGGAUUGAUGUCAUGUGUCUUGACUUCAGGAAGGCUUUUGAUCUGGUGUCCCAUGAUCACCUCUUGGCCAAACUGGCCAGUUGUGGCCUUGGCUCCACCGCGGUCCACUGCCUGGGGGGCUGGCUCUGUGGUCGGACCCAGAGGGUUGUGGUUGGUGGCAGUCACUCGUCGUGGUGCCCUGUGGCCAGUGGGGUCCCUCAAGGCUCUGUCCUGGGACCCAUACUGUUCAACGUCUUCAUUAAUGAUGUGGACGUUGGAGUCGGGAGUGGACUGGCUGAGUUCGCCGAUAGCGCCANNNNNNN